RNAcentral lists this ribosomal RNA (351 nucleotides) under uncultured bacterium. RNAcentral describes it as "bacterial SSU rRNA". It matches the Rfam family "Bacterial small subunit ribosomal RNA", at positions 29 to 365 of the family's 1533-position model. The record is from RNAcentral.
AACGAACGUUGGCGGCGUGGAUGAGGCAUGCAAGUCGAACGCGAAAGCCGCAAGGCGAGUAAAGUGGCGGACGGGCGAGUAACACGUAAUCAAGCUACCUGCGAGACGGGGAUAACUUCGGGAAACCGAAGCUAAGACCCGAUGGUCUUCUAGGAACGCAUGUUCCAUGAAGUAAAUGGGCGGGAUCCUCCGGGAUCGCCUGCUCGCAGAGGUGAUUGCGGCCCAUCAGCUAGUUGGUAGGGUAAUGGCCUACCAAGGCAACGACGGGUAGCCGGCCUUAGAGGGUGGUCGGCCGCACUGGGACUGAGACACUGCCCAGACUCCUACGGGAGGCUGGCAGUCGAGAAUCUU